UGCAUGGUGGUGCAGUGGGUAGCGCUGUUGACUCACAAGCAAGAAGGUCCUGGGUUCGAAUCCGGCCUAUGUCC
RNAcentral lists this transfer RNA (74 nucleotides) under Anguilla anguilla (European eel). RNAcentral describes it as "tRNA-OTHER". The record is from RNAcentral. Lineage: Eukaryota; Metazoa; Chordata; Actinopteri; Anguilliformes; Anguillidae.